Long non-coding RNA from Charadrius vociferus (killdeer), 964 nucleotides. RefSeq lists it as uncharacterized. The transcript is spliced from 5 exons. The record is from RefSeq and is a predicted model, not a curated record. NCBI's taxonomy places the organism in Eukaryota, Metazoa, Chordata, Aves, Charadriiformes, Charadriidae.
GAAAAGAAAAAAGGAAACGGAAACGCAGUAGAAGCAGAUCAUCAUCCAUUUCAUCCACAUCAUCUUCUAGUGCUACAUCCAGUUCUUCUUCCUCAUCACGUUCAUCAUCAAGAUCGUCUUCCUCAAGUAGCAGAGAUUCUCCUAAGUCUAAAUCAAAGAAAAAGAAAAAAGAAAAACACAACAAAAAGAAAAGGAAAAAAGACAACAAAAUGAAGAAAAAGAAAGAAAAGAAGAAAAAGAGAGAGAAACCAGGACCUGUCCAGCUUUCCAAGUUCUUUAAGAAUAAAAAGAAGAAUGAAAACUACAGCAUGAUAACCGGAAAGAAAAUUAAGAUGAAAAUUAAGAAGACUAAGAAGGAUAAAGAGAGAGAUCGUAACCGUGCAGAACUUCUUGAAUUUCUGAACUCUGCUUUAUAAUGGGAAGAGUGCUAACCAAGGACUUGUAAAUAUACCAAACAAAUGAUCAUCAUGCCUAGCAAGACACUAAAGGGAAACUCAGGGAUAAGGACGCCAUGUUUGACAAGACCAGACUCUCCUGCUGUGAAGACAAUCGGGAUGUCCUUUUUUAAUGGCAAAACAAAGAGUAACUGAUAACUUGUUAAUGAAGAUCCAUGUCCUCCUUUUGAGAUCCUAAGGUAAUAGCCAGGCUGUGAUGUUUUAGAAGAACCUAAGAGUGUGUCAUUGACAAUGAUAAGAACUGACACACUGAAGUACAAUAAUGUAAUUUCUAUCCUAACUGCAUGCAGAACAGACUCUUAAUUUCAAAUGUCAUAAUGUUUCUAGUAGUUUAAACAAAGCAGAGUAUUUGUAAAUGUCUAUUUGAAAGACAAGGCGUUUCUAUAUGAGUAUUUUUUCCAGUAGUGGUUUUACUUGUCCUAAAGAGCAAGAUGACCUUUGUAAAUAGAACAUGCUUUUACAUAAAUGAUUUUUUGACAGUUCACUCAUUAAUAUAUUAUUUUCUUUCA